AGUAAUGUAUAGGAACUUGCCUAGUAGUGGGGGAUAACGUGUGGAAACGCACGCUAAUACCGCAUACGCUCUACGGAGGAAAGCGGAGGAUCUUCGGACCUCGUGCUACUAGAUGGGCCUAUAUCAGAUUAGCUAGUUGGUAAGGUAAUGGCUUACCAAGGCGACGAUCUGUAGCUGGUUUGAGAGAAUGAUCAGCCACACUGGGACUGAGACACGGCCCAG
This 222-nucleotide ribosomal RNA is filed under the name uncultured bacterium. Its description in RNAcentral is "partial 16S ribosomal RNA". It matches the Rfam family "Bacterial small subunit ribosomal RNA", at positions 109 to 334 of the family's 1533-position model. The record is from RNAcentral.